AUUAGGCAGCAACCAUUUGAUUUUCUGGGGGGGGCUAUGGUUUUUUUUGGAAAAAAAAGUUUGUUUCCAGUUUUUGGAGAAAAAAAUAAUUUGUUUUUGAUUCUGAGAAAAAAAAAUUGUUUGUUUCACCCUCAGCUGCCACUAUAUGUAAUGCUAAAAUUGAAAGAAAAAAAUUGUUUUCGACUUGUCGCGAAAAAAAUAGAUUGUUUUUUGCCUCAGGCGAAAAAAAAAAUUUGUCCAGAAAAAAAAAACCAUAGCCCCCCCCAGAAAAUCAAAUGGUUGCUGCCUUAU
Molecule: long non-coding RNA, 291 nt
Filed under: Mytilus galloprovincialis (Mediterranean mussel)
Lineage: Eukaryota; Metazoa; Mollusca; Bivalvia; Mytilida; Mytilidae
Source: RNAcentral